RNAcentral lists this ribosomal RNA (621 nucleotides) under Triticum aestivum (bread wheat). Its description in RNAcentral is "partial small subunit ribosomal RNA". The record is from RNAcentral. Lineage: Eukaryota; Viridiplantae; Streptophyta; Magnoliopsida; Poales; Poaceae.
AUGUCGGGGUCGGGCGAGAUGGCGCCGGCAGCCCGCCAGAGCCGCCGCCGGCGCGUCAUCAUCUGUGCCAGCUUCGCCGUGCUCGUCCUGCUCCUCCUGGCUGCCGUGGCCGCCAUCGUCCUGCUGGCGGUCCUCCGCCCGCGGGACCCGACUACGGAGCUCCUGUCCGCGAACGCCACCGGCGCCGCCCCGCGCGUGACGUUCCCCACCGUCUCCGUCCAGCUCAAUGUCACCUUCCUCCUCGUGGUGCGCGUGCGCAACCCGAACCCGGCCUCGUUCCGGUACGGCGAGGCCGCCACGACGCUCCUCUACCGGGGCGCCCCCGUGGGCAGCGCCGUCGUCCCUGCCGGCCCCGUGCCGAGCCGCGGCACAACGACCAUGCGGCUGGGCAUGAUGGUGCAGGCCGACAAGGUGGUUGAGGCGGCCGGGAUCGGGGGGCUGCUCGGCGACGUGCUCGCCGGGGAGAUGGAGUUCGAGGCGAGGACGGACGUGAAGGGCCGGGUGACGUUCCUCGGGUUCGUGAAGCGGAACGCCCAGGGGAGGUCGGCGUGCCGCAUCGCCAUCGGCGUCCCCGACGUCAAGGUCCGGCGGCAGGAGUGCCACAACGAGGCCAGGCUGUGA